CUAGGAUCCUGAUCAAGCAUUAUUGAGAAAGGGAAAGUGGCUAGGUAGGUCGAUGGCUAAGGUAAUCUCAGUCCUUGUUCUGGCAACGGUGGCGGUCCUUGCGACGACGACGAUGGUGUCCCCAGCCAUGGGGGCCUCAGGAACUGCAACUUUCUACACGCCUCCUUACACACCGUCGUCGGCGUGCUUCGGGAACGCGGCGGAGGGGACGAUGAUCGCAGCAGCGAGCGAGGCCUUCUGGGACACGGCGGCGCGGCGUGCGGCGACAGGUACGCGGUGAGGUGCACCGGCGCGACCAACCAGGGCGUGCCGCUCCAGCAGUCAUUAGCAGGUUCAUAUGGUCGCGUGUAAUAAGCAAAAUCUUAAAUUCGAUAGCCUACCUACAACCUACAAUUCUAGCAGUUUCUGUCAGCUUUUGGUAUAUGUUUGUGGUUUGUACUCCCACUGUUCAAGGUAUGGUUUGGUCA
Molecule: long non-coding RNA, 467 nt
Organism: Setaria italica (foxtail millet)
Lineage: Eukaryota; Viridiplantae; Streptophyta; Magnoliopsida; Poales; Poaceae
Exons: 2
Source: RefSeq, a predicted model, not a curated record